CAAAUUAGAGCUUGUUAGGAAGUUUUUUAUUUACAUUAAAAAGUUGUUGUGCGAAUCAAUGUAGUUUGA
RNAcentral lists this transfer RNA (69 nucleotides) under Coraebus diminutus. Its description in RNAcentral is "tRNA-Val". RNAcentral also lists the same sequence under 1 other name. Lineage: Eukaryota; Metazoa; Arthropoda; Insecta; Coleoptera; Buprestidae. The record is from RNAcentral.